UCGACUUACUGUAGCGCAGGGUGGGGACUACGGUGGGGGCAAUCGGUACUCGGAAUUAAGUGGAGUAAAGAGCAUGGAGGCUGAUUAAUAAGUUUGAAGUGAAAUCCGACAGCUGAAGUAUAGAACUGCGUUGGAAACUGUUAAUCUAGAGUGGGGGAGAGGUAGAUGGAAGUGCUGGUGGAGGGGUAAAAUCCGUAUAGAUCAGAAGGAAUACCGAUGGCGAAGGCGAUCUACUGGAACAUAAUUGACGCUGAGAUGCGAAAGCGUGGGGAGCAAACAGGAUUAGAUACCCGAGUAGUC
RNAcentral lists this ribosomal RNA (300 nucleotides) under uncultured Prevotella sp. Its description in RNAcentral is "partial 16S ribosomal RNA". It matches the Rfam family "Bacterial small subunit ribosomal RNA", at positions 493 to 795 of the family's 1533-position model. The record is from RNAcentral. Lineage: Bacteria; Pseudomonadati; Bacteroidota; Bacteroidia; Bacteroidales; Prevotellaceae.